Molecule: long non-coding RNA, 394 nt
Organism: Manis pentadactyla (Chinese pangolin)
Lineage: Eukaryota; Metazoa; Chordata; Mammalia; Pholidota; Manidae
Exons: 3
Source: RefSeq, a predicted model, not a curated record
CAGAGACGGGCGGUCACCCACAGGCGACGGCAUUCACCUGCGCCUGUCGCCCGUUUUCCACUCCCCCCGAUGCCCCACCAUUCGCUUCUGCGGGGCUGCGCAGACAGAACGGCCUGGGGCCCCUGACCCCACCCAAGAGGCAAAGUCGCCUCCACCCAUUUCUGAACAUCUGAACAUUCACAGUGGUUGCUUCCUACGGGACCCACCACCUGCCUUCUAGGCCUGCAGCCCCACUACCUGACUGGUGAACUUCUGGUGUGGAAAACAGCGGUGUCAGGCUCCCCACACCUGGGCCAGUCUCUUAGGCUCCACUGUCUGGCUUCUCUGAGAACCUACUCGGACAAGCAGUCUCCUGGGGGGGUUACCGGGGAUGGAGGUGCCCAGGGCCACGAAG